Molecule: small nuclear RNA, 107 nt
Organism: Hippopotamus amphibius kiboko
Lineage: Eukaryota; Metazoa; Chordata; Mammalia; Artiodactyla; Hippopotamidae
Source: RefSeq, a predicted model, not a curated record
GGUGUCACUUUGGCACCUCAUCUACUAAAAUGGGAACCAUACAGAGAAGAUUAGCAUGGCUGCUGCACAAGAAUGACAUAGAAAUUCAUGAAGCAUUCCAUAUUUUU